GUGAAAUUUUUUGAAUUUUGAUUUUAGUGGUAUGCAUUUAUGAAAAGGUUAAGAACCACUGAUAUAGGGCAUUAUGAUUUUUUCCAUUGUUAAAUUGUUGCCAACUAAUGACCUCCAGUAUUUACAUAAGUAUUCUUAAUUUUUUUCCCCCAAGAAUGAAUUAAAAAAAAAUUGAACUUUAUGAACAUUUAUUUAGCAUUUAUUUAUUGCAAUCAAUGCUCAUAUUUUUGAUUUUGUUAAAACUUUAUAUUUGAAAAAAAUUCAUAAAUCUGAGAACUCAUAAACCAAGAGCUAUCCAUAUUUGAUAUUAGUAGCUUAAAAAUGUGCUUGAAUAUACUGUGCAAAUGUUUGUAGGCAAUGAUACUUAUGUCAAGUAAUUAUCAUCAGCAGAUCAGCAGCUUGAAUAUACUGUACAAAUAUCUGUGCCUACAAACGUUUGCACAGUAUAUUCAAGCACUGUAUAGACAUAUAUACAGUAUAUGUCUACAUCUCGUCAUAUUCCAAAAUCUACUGUAUCGUGGGUUGAUUUUAACCAAAUGUGACUUGCUAUAUUAUGAUAUGAGCCAUUAUUGACAGUUAUUUUCAACAAAAAUUCAAUUCAAAAGAAGUUAUGCCUACUAAUUGAUGAUAUUUUGAAUUUUUGUACAGCUUUUAGAACCUAAUAAACUAAAAAAAGGAAAAGGUUAAUUUUUUUAGAAGUUUUUGAAUUUUAAAAUUACUGAUUUUUCUCUCUUAAUAUUAGAUAUUAAAUGUUGGUUAACAUCAUUAGAAGAGACAUUUUAUUCUGUAUAAGUAGUAUAUAAAUAGUAAAUUUUGUUGUACAAUGUAAUAAUUUUACAUAAAAUUGAAAAUUCA
Molecule: long non-coding RNA, 855 nt
Filed under: Androctonus crassicauda
Lineage: Eukaryota; Metazoa; Arthropoda; Arachnida; Scorpiones; Buthidae
Source: RNAcentral